UGGAGUGGUUGAAAUAAUUGUUUUAAUGACUCCAAGCUAAGUGUAUGUAAACUUCUGACUUCAACUGUAUAUAUAACCUGAAUGUGUAGAUGUAUAGUGACUUCACGUUUGGGUGAACGGACCAACGGAACUGCCAUGGUCAAGUCCCUUGACAGGUACCAGGAAUGGUGGAAGGAGGAAAAUCUGAAGGUCACUGAUACUCCACCUGAUGUGGAAGUUGUCAAACCAGAUCAGAACGCCUUCGAAGUCCACUUUCAGGAUGGAUGUGGAGGUUUUUGACCAGGUGAGACUGAACAUGGACCGGGCGCAUGAGAAAAAGGAGAGCCACCUGAGAAGAAUCAAGGAGACCAAGUGCUUCGACAUCUGGGUGAAUUACUUGGCUUGGAAGAAGGACGAAAGGAAGGCGAGACCCAGGAAAGACCAUCCCUUACCAACCCCACUGACAUCAAAAAUUAGACAGGUAUCCUUUCCUUUCUGUCUGCGAUUAACAUUAUUGCAUGUCUAAUCAAGCAUUUAAAUCAAAUAAUUAAAUAACUGUAUUUUUACAUACCUGAUAAUAAUUUAACCUGUGUGUUUGCUUGUUUAAGUCUGUCUCCUACCCUGUUCCCUUUACUCUGCUCCUGUUCUCCAGGACCUAGGAGCUCUGCCUAACACCCAGACAUGAUGUCCUCCAUUACAAACCACCCUCCAACUUUUCAUUACACCAGCUACUGUUAUUGUCAAGUUGUCAUUAUCUGCUAAGAAAGAGCAAAACAACUAUCAUACUGGGCACAUAAUGUGAGGUGCACAGAUUAUCUAAAAACACUAGCACUGCAAACACUCAGAACAAAGAGAGCAGCAGCGCCUCUUCAAGUUCACUACCUGUUGAAAACAAGUGACAGGCAGAACCUCCCAUCCACACAAGACCCACCUCCUCUCUAUUCCACACACCAUAAUUCUGUAUUUCAGUCUGAUUGCCAUGUGAGUGUACAAAAAAUCUGAAAGUAAAUUGACACAUGUACCAAAAAAAUAUCAAUGGUUAUGUUUUUAAAUCUAAAAUAUUGCUAGAUUGGUUUUCACAGCUGUUUCAUAAGGUGUUUGUUAUUGUAAAUUGUAACAUCUCUUGAUGGUAUUUGUUAGUUCAACAUUAUUAAUUGUAUCAUAAGACAUCCAAUAGAUAUAUAUUCAAACACAAGGGUGUACUAAUGAGCUAUGAUUUAAAAAAUAAUAAUUGUAUCAAUGUUGAGGACUAAAGUUAUUUCAGUGUAGGUAAGGGAAUGCCUGUUUAAAAUGAAUACAUGCCAGCCAGACAAGCCAGUGUAUGAAUCAAAUGUAUUUGCUUAUGAAUGGAGUGGAAAUUAGUUCACUUUGUGAUCUGUAAGGUAAGUAACAUUAAUGUAUGUGGGGGGCAUUGAAAUUAUAUUAUGUUUAUCCUGAUGCCUGUUUAUUCAUAAAAAGCAGAAGAUGAUAAAUAAUAUUAAUCGCAAUGGUUAUUUUAUGCAAAUUAUUUGGAAUACAUUUAGCCUAAUUGGUAAUAUGAUGUGGGGGAAAAUCGGGAUCCUAGUCAGGAUUUUGUUUGUCAAUUCCAGAUUUAAAAAAGGUCUUCAUGUCUAUCAAAUCUGUUGGCAAUUGUGGGCCAAAUCAAUAACAAACAGUUUAAAUGUUCAUGCUUCAUCAUGACGUGAUCAAAACAGGCUGGGUUUUUUUCGGUUCCGUUAAAUCUAGCUGCGCAAGACCUUCGGUAGGCUAGUGGAUUGCGGACAUAAUAAUGGAGUUUAUCAUUGGUAUAGCCUAGACCGCUUUAUAAAAUCGGGACAGUUGCUUUCCUUAUGGCUAAACAAACACGUGGUAGCAUAUGUUUUUUUCACGUCUCUAUAACAAGGUCUAUAUCCUCACAUAACCCCUCAAUUCGAACCCUGCUUUUAAGCAUAAAACAUCUCCACAGAAAUGUAAAGACUAUGAUUGCAUGGUGACAGUCUGUUAAUCCGGUAAACUGGGAAGUGGGGGGAAACGAGGUCAAAUCAUGACAUCAGGGAUUUUCAGGUCAGAGAAAGAUGCCAGAGAUUCCGAGUUGGAUGACUGUUCAAAACAAAAAUCCCAGUCUGAGAUAGUUUUUUUCAGAGUUCCCAGUUGUCUUGAACGUACUCUACUCGGAAGUCAGAUUUCCGAGUUGUUUUGAAAGCGUUACUAGAGACCUAGACUACCCCCAUCAAAGAAAAGGAAAGGGGAAUACCUAGUCAGAUGUAAAAACCGAAUGCAUUCAACUGAAAUGUGUCUUCCUCAUUUAACCCAACCCCUCUGAAUCAGAGAGGUGCGGGGGGAUGCCUUAAUCUAAAUCCACGUAUUCGUCGCCCGGGGAACAGCCUCACAAUUGUGUCAUUCUGCCUUGCCCAAAACCUGUUCUUUUUAACUUCUUAUUUAUCUUUCUGCAAUAUUCCUACCAUUGCAUGAAAUUAUAUUACUGUUGAUAUAUUUUCAAUGCUAUCAUAAUGUUUGGUGUUUUUACAACAGUCGUUUCUAAACUUUCAUUCUUCUCUCCACUAAAACGUCAUCGUCCUUGAAUGGAUGUUCCGUUAUUUGCCAAUAGAUGGCACACAAUUACACAUAAUGUAAUUACACAGGACAAUAACAACGACAUAGUUGUGUCUAGUAAGUGACUAACAGACGUCCAUUAAACUCAGCUCACUCUGUUGACCUAUCUUGAAUAUCUUCAGUGAGAUUGCCGUUAGCCUGGUUGCCAUCUCUGUUCAGCUAUUACAUUACACUCCUUGCCACUCCUAUCAUUGAAUACCACUCAUUGCCACUCCUGUCAUUUGCCAAUGGAUAUGCAGGAUAGGAACACUCCAUUCCAUCUAAACAAUGGAUAUAUAGCAAUUAGCAAAAAAAACAUCUUCAUACACGUCUAAAAUCUAUGAAUAAAAAAUGUGAGAACAGUCAUAUUU
Long non-coding RNA from Oncorhynchus mykiss (rainbow trout), 2921 nucleotides. RefSeq lists it as uncharacterized. The record is from RefSeq and is a predicted model, not a curated record. NCBI's taxonomy places the organism in Eukaryota, Metazoa, Chordata, Actinopteri, Salmoniformes, Salmonidae.